GGAGGAGUCGCAUAGUGGACUAGUGCGAUUGCUUGGAGAGCAAUUGUGUCCUUCGGGGCACCGUGGGUUCGAAUCCCACCUCCUCCG
Molecule: transfer RNA, 87 nt
Filed under: Parcubacteria group bacterium
Lineage: Bacteria
Description: tRNA-Ser
Rfam family: tRNA
About the family: Transfer RNA (tRNA) molecules are approximately 80 nucleotides in length. Their secondary structure includes four short double-helical elements and three loops (D, anti-codon, and T loops).
Source: RNAcentral